Small nucleolar RNA from Hyaena hyaena (striped hyena), 130 nucleotides. RefSeq annotates it as small nucleolar RNA SNORA11. The record is from RefSeq and is a predicted model, not a curated record. The transcript has a single exon. Lineage: Eukaryota; Metazoa; Chordata; Mammalia; Carnivora; Hyaenidae.
AGGGUGUGAUCAGGGCAGGGGGCCCGAGGAAAUGGCUCCUCUGUUUAUAACACACCCAACAGGAAUCUGGGUUCAUUGUGACAAGUGGCACAAAACUUGUGGUUUUCCUAUGAACAGAUGCCCUGCAUGU